GGGUGGUAAUGCCGGAUGCUCCAGUUGAUCGCAUGGUCUUCUGGGAAAGCUUUCGCGGUAUGGGAUGGGGUCGCGUCCUAUCAGCUUGACGGCGGGGUAACGGCCCACCGUGGCUUCGACGGGUAGCCGGCCUGAGAGGGCGACCGGCCACAUUGGGACUGAGAUACGGCCCAGACUCCUACGGGAGGCAGCAGUGGGGAAUAUUGCACAAUGGGCGCAAGCCUGAUGCAGCGACGCCGCGUGAGGGAUGGAGGCCUUCGGGUUGUAAACCUCUUUUAUCGGGGAGCAAGCGAGAGUGAGUUUACCCGUUGAAUAAGCACCGGCUAACUACGUGCCAGCAGCCGCGGUAAUACGUAGGGUGCAAGCGUUAUCCGGAAUUAUUGGGCGUAAAGGGCUCGUAGGCGGUUCGUCGCGUCCGGUGUGAAAGUCCAUCGCUUAACGGUGGAUCCGCGCCGGGUACGGGCGGGCUUGAGUGCGGUAGGGGAGACUGGAAUUCCCGGUGUAACGGUGGAAUGUGUAGAUAU
Molecule: ribosomal RNA, 524 nt
Filed under: Bifidobacterium longum subsp. infantis
Lineage: Bacteria; Bacillati; Actinomycetota; Actinomycetes; Bifidobacteriales; Bifidobacteriaceae
Also listed under: 2 other names
Description: bacterial SSU rRNA
Rfam family: Bacterial small subunit ribosomal RNA
Source: RNAcentral